Molecule: ribosomal RNA, 253 nt
Filed under: uncultured bacterium
Lineage: Bacteria
Description: partial 16S ribosomal RNA
Rfam family: Bacterial small subunit ribosomal RNA
Source: RNAcentral
UACGUAGGAUGCAAGCGUUGUCCGGAAUUAUUGGGCGUAAAGAGCGAGCAGGCGGUUUGGAAAGUUGGACGUGAAAUUUUAGGGCUUAACCCUAAAGGGUCGUCCAAAACUCCCAGACUAGAGUGCAGGAGAGGAAAGCGGAAUUCCUGGUGUAGUGGUGAAAUGCGUAGAUAUCAUGAGGAAUACCAGAGGCGAAGGCGGCUACCUGGACAAUUGCUGACGCUCAGGCACGAAAGCGUGGGGAGCAAAAGGG